GGUAAUGUAAUUUAGCACAAGCAGAGAAAUAAAAGUUUUCCACAUUAUUCAUAACUUGAAAAGUAUGCAUCACAUUACAUUUUCAGAAUCAGCAUACUCCAAAUACAAACAUAUGUCAAAAUCAUACAAAUUGGUCCAAUGGUUCAAAAGAUAGAUCAUAGUCCUUUGUGACCACAGGAAGCAUGGCUUUUCUGCCCAAAACCAGUUCCACAG
Pelobates cultripes (western spadefoot toad) is the source of this 213-nucleotide non-coding RNA. The record is from the annotation of a GenBank genome assembly. Lineage: Eukaryota; Metazoa; Chordata; Amphibia; Anura; Pelobatidae.